UACAGAGGUCUCAAGCGUUGUUCGGAUUCAUUGGGCGUAAAGGGUGCGUAGGCGGCGCCGUAAGUCGGAUGUGAAAGUCCCCGGGCUUAACCUGGGAAUGGCAUUUGGGACUGCAAGGCUCGAGUGCGGCAGAGGAGACUGGAAUUCCUGGUGUAGCAGUGAAAUGCGUAGAUAUCAGGAGGAAUACCGAUGGCGAAGGCAGGUCCCUGGGCUGACGACGACGCUCAUGCACGAAAGCGUGGGGAGCA
This 248-nucleotide ribosomal RNA is filed under the name uncultured bacterium. RNAcentral's name for it is "partial 16S ribosomal RNA". It matches the Rfam family "Bacterial small subunit ribosomal RNA", at positions 524 to 770 of the family's 1533-position model. The record is from RNAcentral.